GACGAACGCUGGCGGCGUGCUUAACACAUGCAAGUCGAACGGUGAAGCGCCUUCCUUUUUGGUGGGUGUGGAUGAGCGGCGAACGGGUGAGUAACACGUGAGUAACCUGCCCCCUUCUUCUGGAUAACCGCAUGAAAGUGUGGCUAAUACGGGAUAUUCUGGGUCUGUCGCAUGAUGGGUCUGGGAAAGAUAUUGUUUCGGUGUGGGAUGGGCUCGCGGCCUAUCAGCUUGUUGGUGGGGUGAUGGCCUACCAAGGCGGUGACGGGUAGCCGGCCUGAGAGGGUGGACGGUCACACUGGGACUGAGACACGGCCCAGACUCCUACGGGAGGCAGCAGUGGGGAAUAUUGCACAAUGGGCGCAAGCCUGAUGCAGCGACGCCGCGUGAGGGAUGGAGGCCUUCGGGUUGUGAACCUCUUUCGCCAGUGAAGCAGGCCUGCCUCGUUUGUGGGUGGGUUGACGGUAGCUGGAUAAGAAGCGCCGGCUAACUACGUG
Molecule: ribosomal RNA, 494 nt
Filed under: uncultured bacterium
Lineage: Bacteria
Description: partial 16S ribosomal RNA
Rfam family: Bacterial small subunit ribosomal RNA
Source: RNAcentral